GGAAAUAAAUGACUGGAUGGUCGCUGCUUUUUAAGUUUCAAAUUGACAUUCCAGACAAGCGGUGCCUGAGCCCGUGCCUGUCUUCAGAUCUUCACAGCACAGUUCCUGGGAAGGUGGAGCCACCAGCCUCUCCCUGACAAGCAAAGUGGAUCAGCAAAGGCUGCAGUCACCAGCAUCUUUUCCAACCUUAAUGAACUGUAUCCUCAAAAGAACACUAUCAGACUGGCUCUGCCGACUUCCAGUUCUGGAACAAGAUGGUUAAACUCAUUUUUCCCUGCUCUGCUCCUCUAAAUACAACUAAGUACCUUGGAAACUAUUCAGCAGACAAUGAUAAAGGGCUCUGAAAGCUAGAAGAAAAGGUGUACUUGCAAGAAACCUCAGGACUUGAGUAACAGCAACAUGAACAAUCCAUUUCACAGAUGAAGAAACAGACUCAGUGAGCACGUGAUCACUUCUCACAACUAAUGGAGCCAAGAUUCUGUCCUUAUGGCUCCAGAGACCUCUUUUUUUUCCCACUGUACCACAACACUCACCAGGACUGGAGUGCCACCUAUGACCUCAUUGCAUAAUGGAUGGCUUGUCCUCAAAUGGGCCCGGGUUCUUCUGAGCUAUGAAGGGGCCCAGAUUUAAGGGCUAUUUUUGACACCCUAAAUGUGCUGAGACAAGUCAUUAAGGUGGUCCUGCCAGGACACAGCCAUCUAAAGCAGCAAUCUGCUUCUUGCCAGAAAAUCUCGUGCCUCUGCAGAGCCUUUUCCAGAAUGAACCACACCAUGCUGAGGAAAGGAGAAAGAGACUACCUACUGCAUUUCUGUCACUCGCUGAAAAGGACACUCUGUCAGAAAAUCUUCUAGCAAACUUCAAAGGGCAAAAUCACCCCUUGUUACUGAUAAAGCCCAGAGAGCUUCAGCAGCUAACAUUCCCUGGACAGGGCACAGCAAGGAUUUGAACCUAGGUCAGUCUGGCCAGAACACCCACAAGCUUUCCUUAACUCAGUGUGCUAUCUCCCCACGACUAGGUCACUACUGCUUUAUAAUCACCUUUGUAGCCACCAGUGGAUUUUGCUCAUCAGUAUUUUUCAGGCAAUUGAUACUUUAGAUAUUCAGCUGCAAGACGUAUGCAGUUUUCAUUGACAUCUUUUGGAGAAACUGACAAACCUGGACUUGACUUAAUGCCUUUGGAACCUUCCAAGAUGUUAUAUAACUCUAGAUAGAAGGCUGGGCCUCCAUGAUGUCAGGAAUGUUGCAUUCUUAUUUCCCCAUAGAUAAACCCAUUUGUCCACAAAGUCAAGGAGUCAGGCAGAGGCCCUUGCCAUGGGGCUUUUUAGGAUAAAGCAACAAGCCUGGACUUUGCUCUACAACAGGGUUUUGCAUAGGGAGUGGUAUGACCAGAUCCCUCAAGAAAGAAAGCUUAGAGACCAGGCCAGAGUCCACUGCAGUAGCCCAGUCAAGAGAGGAUGGUGACUUGGACUUGUAGUAGAGCCAGUUAGAAUGAAAGAAAUUGACACAUUCAGAAAUGGUUUUAGAGAUAGAGUCAAACUGGACCUGAUAAAGAACUAGAGAAGCGGAGUGAGGAUAAAGAGAAGAGCCAUGACUGACUCGGAAGAUUUUGUCUUGAAAAACUUGAGAACUCAAGACAGAGUGAAAUAAAAUCACAUGUGGGAAAAAUCUCCUGCUUUGUUUUGGACUACUUUGAAGUGAAAUGCCUGUUAAGCCUAAGUGGGGUAGGUCAUGGCGUACAUGACUGUGGGCUCAGGAUGGAUACAGGCAUUCAG
RNAcentral lists this long non-coding RNA (1771 nucleotides) under Homo sapiens (human). Its description in RNAcentral is "LHRI_LNC517.6". The record is from RNAcentral. Lineage: Eukaryota; Metazoa; Chordata; Mammalia; Primates; Hominidae.